GGUGGUGUAGCUCAAGUGGCAGAGCACAUGCUUAGCAUGCAGGAGGUCCUGGGUUCAGUCCCCAGUACCUCCA
RNAcentral lists this transfer RNA (73 nucleotides) under Camelus ferus (Wild Bactrian camel). It matches the Rfam family "tRNA". From Rfam's summary of the family: Transfer RNA (tRNA) molecules are approximately 80 nucleotides in length. Their secondary structure includes four short double-helical elements and three loops (D, anti-codon, and T loops). The record is from Rfam by way of RNAcentral. Lineage: Eukaryota; Metazoa; Chordata; Mammalia; Artiodactyla; Camelidae.